AUUGAACGCUGGCGGCAUGCUUUACACAUGCAAGUCGAACGGCAGCGCGGGCUUCGGCCUGGCGGCGAGUGGCCAACGGGUGAGUAAUACAUCGGAACGUGCCCAGUAGUGGGGGAUAGCUCGGCGAAAGCCGGACUAAUACCGCAUACGACCUGAUGGUGAAAGCGGGGGAUCAUCGGACCUCGCGCUAUUUGAGCGGCCGAUGGCAGAUUAGCUAGUUGGUGGGGUAAAGGCCUACCAAGGCGACGAUCUGUAGCUGGCCUGAGAGGACGACCAGCCACACUGGGACUGAGACACGGCCCAGACUCCUACGGGAGGCAGCAGUGGGGAAUUUUGGACAAUGGGCGAAAGCCUGAUCCAGCAAUGCCGCGUGUGUGAUGAAGGCCUUCGGGUUGUAAAGCACUUUUGGCGGGAACGAAAAGGACUGUGCCAAUACCACGGUUCGAUGACGGUACCCGCAGAAUAAGCACCGGCUAACUACGUG
Molecule: ribosomal RNA, 484 nt
Filed under: uncultured bacterium
Lineage: Bacteria
Description: partial 16S ribosomal RNA
Rfam family: Bacterial small subunit ribosomal RNA
Source: RNAcentral